UGGGGAAUAUUGCACAAUGGGCGCAAGCCUGAUGCAGCAACGCCGCGUGAGGGAUGACGGCCUUCGGGUUGUAAACCUCUUUUAGUAGGGAAGAAGCGAAAGUGACGGUACCUGCAGAAAAACGCACCGGCUAACUACGUGCCAGCAGCCGCGGUAAUACGUAGGGUGCGAGCGUUGUCCGGAAUUAUUGGGCGUAAAGAGCUCGUAGGCGGUCUGUCGCGUCUGCUGUGAAAACCCGAGGCUCAACCUCGGGCCUGCAGUGGGUACGGGCAGACUAGAGUGCGGUAGGGGAGAAUGGAAUUCCUGGUGUAGCGGUGAAUGCGCAGAUAUCAGGAGGAACACCGAUGGCGAAGGCAGUUCUCUGGGCCGUAACUGACGCUGAGGAGCGAAAGCGUGGGGAGCGAACAGGAUUAGAUACCCUGGUAGUCCACGCCGUAAACGUUGGGCGCUAGAUGUGGGGACCAUUCCACGGUUUCCGUGUCGCAGCUAACGCAUUAAGCGCCCCGCCUGGGGAGUACGGCCGCAAGGCU
This 530-nucleotide ribosomal RNA is filed under the name uncultured bacterium. RNAcentral's name for it is "partial 16S ribosomal RNA". It matches the Rfam family "Bacterial small subunit ribosomal RNA", at positions 355 to 895 of the family's 1533-position model. The record is from RNAcentral.